CCUACGGGAGGCAGCAGUGGGGAAUUUUCCGCAAUGGGCGAAAGCCUGACGGAGCAAUACCGCGUGAGGGAAGAAUGCCUACGGGUUGUAAACCUCUUUUAUCAGGGAGGAACAAAAUGACGUGUACCUGAUGAAUAAGCAUCGGCUAACUCUGUGCCAGCAGCCGCGGUAAGACAGAGGAUGCAAGUGUUAUCCGGAAUUACUGGGCGUAAAGCGUCUGUAGGUUGUUGAACAAGUCAACUGUUAAAUCUUGAAGCUCAACUCCAAAAUCGCAGUCGAAACUGUUUGACUAGAGUAUAGUAGAGGUAAAGGGAAUUUCCAGUGGAGCGGUGAAAUGCGUAGAUAUUGGAAAGAACACCGAUGGCGAAAGCACUUUACUGGGCUAUUACUGACACUCAGAGACGACAGCUAGGGUAGCAAAUGGGAUUAGAUACCCCAGUAGUCCUAGCCGUAAACUAUGGAUACUAGAUGUUGAACAGAUCGACCUGUGCAGUAUUAAAGCUAACGCGUUAAGUAUCCCGCCUGGGAAGUAUGCUCGCAAGAGUGAAACUCAAAUGAAUUGACGG
Molecule: ribosomal RNA, 566 nt
Filed under: uncultured bacterium
Lineage: Bacteria
Description: bacterial SSU rRNA
Rfam family: Bacterial small subunit ribosomal RNA
Source: RNAcentral